RNAcentral lists this ribosomal RNA (253 nucleotides) under uncultured bacterium. RNAcentral's name for it is "partial 16S ribosomal RNA". It matches the Rfam family "Bacterial small subunit ribosomal RNA", at positions 524 to 776 of the family's 1533-position model. The record is from RNAcentral.
UACGGAGGGUGCGAGCGUUGUUCGGAAUUAUUGGGCGUAAAGGGCGCGUAGGCGGUCCGGUAAGUCACCUGUGAAAUCUCCUGGCUCAACUGGGAGCUUGCAGGCGAAACUGCCGUGCUGGAGUGUGGGAGAGGUGCGUGGAAUUCCUGGUGUAGCGGUGAAAUGCGUAGAUAUCAGGAGGAACACCUGUGGCGAAAGCGGCGCACUGGACCACAACUGACGCUGAGGCGCGAAAGCUAGGGGAGCAAACAGG